CCUACGGGAGGCAGCAGUAGGGAAUAUUGCUCAAUGGGGGAAACCCUGAAGCAGCAACGCCGCGUGGAGGAUGAAGGUUUUCGGAUUGGAAACUCCUUUUGUUAGAGAAGAUAAUGACGGUAUCUAACGAAUAAGCACCGGCUAACACCGUGUCAGCAGCCGCGGUAAUACGGAGGGUGCAAGCGUUACACGGAAUCACUGGGCGUAAAGAGCGCGUAGGCGGGAUAGCAAGUCAGAUGUGAAAUCCUAUGGCUUAACCAUAGAACUGCAUUUGAAACUGUUAUUCUAGAGUAUGGGAGAGGUAGGUGGAAUGCUUGGUGUAGGGGUAAAAUCCGUAGAGAUCAAGCGGAAUACUCAUUGCGAAGGCGACCUGCUAGAACAUAACUGACGCUGAUGCGCGAAAGCGUGGGGAGCAAACAGGAUUAGAUACCCUUGUAGUC
This 440-nucleotide ribosomal RNA is filed under the name uncultured bacterium. RNAcentral's name for it is "partial 16S ribosomal RNA". It matches the Rfam family "Bacterial small subunit ribosomal RNA", at positions 338 to 795 of the family's 1533-position model. The record is from RNAcentral.